CAGUUAUUAUUUUUAAUAACUUUUACCUAUUAGAAAAUGAUAGAGUGUGAGAAAGAGAGCGAGCAAGCAAGGGAUCCAUUGGCUGGUUCACUGUCCAAAUGCCUACCUCAGAGGUCCAAAGCCGGUAGCUGGGAACUCAAUCCAGAUCUUCCACUUGAGGAAAGCACCACAUUUAUUUGCUCCAUCACUGGUGACUCCAAGCGUAUUUCUUGGCAAGAAGCUGCAGUCAUUAGGCAGAUUUGGGAACUAAACACAUGUACUCUCAGGUGAGAUGUGGGAAUCAUAACACAUUUUAACUGGUAGACUAAAUACUCACACCUCAUUUAACGAUUCUUCUACCACCAGGAAGUCUUUGAGGUAAAUUGCUUACUGUCUUUAAGCAAGCCACAGGGCUAGUAUCUGUUGCAUAUGCAGGAAAGCUCUGUGGUGAUGCAAUUUUUAUUUCCUGAAAGAAAAUAGUUACUACUUGCCACAAUGUUAGAAAUAUUUACAAAGUUGCUAGCCCAUGAAACUCUUGGCUGGAGGAGGACUUGAGCCUAUUUAAAAACCUUUGUAUUAUUUUUCAAGCCUGAACCUAUAAUAAAUGUUUUACCCAACAGUCCUUGCUGGGGAAAAGCUACACUUAGCUAUACCAGACUUAGUAUACAAUCAUGCAAGAUCCCUACAUUUCUGGCAUGGACAUAGUCCAGUGUUACGACCUUUACGAGAGUCAGGCGAGUAUCCGACAGUAGACCACCUCUCAGAUAGCAGUCGCUGUGAGGAAUUUUCGUUCCACGUCUUACCUCAGAAUUUGGAAGGCCGAUGUGUGGAUGGAGAUCACAGAGUGUUCAGUAGCAUGGAAGGAGUUCCGGAGGAGUGCUUUGUGACCAGCAGAAAUCCAGGACCCCAGAGCACUGGGGGACACUGGAUUACCAAUAUGAGGCUAUCCUAGUCAUGGCACCAAUGUUAUAUAUUAAUGUUAGCCAUCGCAAAACACACCAGACACAGGAGUAAGGGAAAGGGUUUAUUGGGGAACACCCAACUGACCAGAGUGAAGGGGCGGUGAAGGGAAAGAUAAAGUAUAAGAGAGAAAGGAGAGGAGCUAGUGAGGAGAGAAGAUAGAGCAGAGAAGAGAGGAGGAGAGGAGAGCAGAAAAUAAUUUACAUUUAAUCAUCUACAUUUUGGAUUAUUGUGCACCCACCUCAAGAGAUAGGCUCUUUAAGUCCUCAGUGAGGAUCUGUCCAAAUAGGUGCAGGACUAUCUAAGUUAACUGUUACUGAAAGCCCUGUUUUUAGGAGCUGCCAGGGAGGGCUUUCUAAGCUGAAUACUAUUUGGAUAGACUUUUAAGGCGUGGCUGGGUAUGUGAAGCCCAGACCUAUCCAUGGGGUGCUAGAAGAGAAUUGCAAGAGAGAUGUGCAUCUCCUUAAGGGUGGCACCCUGUUGACUCCCAUUAUGUGGCUGGACUAGGAGGAGAGCUGAUUAGGAAGCUAGUACAAAGAGGAGGCUGGUAAAAAUAGGCAACUUAUGUUUCACUGACCCUAGGACAUCCCCUCAAUAGCAGUGGCUAGAGCUGGAAGCUUGCAGAGGAUGGGCAGUCAAAGGCUUUUUAGCUUGGGGCCACAGAGUCUGUGGAUCUGAACCAGGAGUCCUUUGACACCCAGGGCAGUUUCAUGUGCAAUGGUCUUGCUCUUGGCCGAGCUGACAGAAGCCAGUUUCUGUCACAACAGCUGCUUGCCCAAUGCCCUGGCUCCUCAUAACAGAAACAGGUGCCGUUUGGGGUUGAAUGGCUUUGUUGGGUCUUUUUGAUGGCAGAUCACUGUGAAAAGCAGCCAUUGAUUGGCCUGUUGCCUAUCCUUACAUUGCUCCUGCUGUGAGAUUGCUCCUCGUUCUUCAGGUCUCUAAUAAAGUAGACCAUGGAGGCA
This 1901-nucleotide long non-coding RNA is filed under the name Oryctolagus cuniculus (rabbit). RNAcentral describes it as "lncRNA (ENSOCUG00000032063.1)". Lineage: Eukaryota; Metazoa; Chordata; Mammalia; Lagomorpha; Leporidae. The record is from RNAcentral.